GUUUAUAUCAACAAUGUUGGCUCAUUGUUGCAAUAACCUAAUAAAUCCAUGGUCAUCCAAGAGCCUUAGAUAACUAUAAAGUCCAAUUUAAAAGGAAUGCAAAAACCUUAGUAGUAGUAGUUACUUCCAAUAUUUGAAAAUUUCGUUUUUGAUAUUGAUUUGUUUUUCUUAAAACAAAUAGUGGGAGUAUCAUACGCUACUAAACUAUAAUGAAAACAAUUAGUAGUUAUAUAUAUCUCCAAUAUUUUGAAAAAAUGUUUUGAUAUUGAUUUGUUUUAUGAAAAUGAAUAGUGGGGAUAGCAUAUGCUACUAAUUUCAUUAACUUUGGACUAGUAGUUGUAAUAGGACAUUAUUUAUUUGAAUAUGAUUAAAUAAAUAAAAUUGAUGAGACCUUAAAAUCCCUCAACCAACAUACAAUAUUAAGGUGAAAGCGUAAGAGUGCUUUGAACACUUUUUCGUGGCCUUCCACCGUGGUAGGCUCCAAUCGUUUAUGACGUGUACAUCGCCUUCACCCUAUCAUGGGGGAGUGCAAAGUGCAUGCUUAUACUCAGGAAGAGUUUAUUUAAAACAUUUGAUGAGGUUAAGGUAGGCAACGAGUGUGGCCAACAUCGUAUCAUC
RNAcentral lists this long non-coding RNA (618 nucleotides) under Malus domestica (apple). RNAcentral's name for it is "long non-coding RNA (MDOM_LNC019855)". The record is from RNAcentral. Lineage: Eukaryota; Viridiplantae; Streptophyta; Magnoliopsida; Rosales; Rosaceae.